Molecule: non-coding RNA, 273 nt
Organism: Phasianus colchicus (ring-necked pheasant)
Lineage: Eukaryota; Metazoa; Chordata; Aves; Galliformes; Phasianidae
Source: RefSeq, a predicted model, not a curated record
GGGGUCCCAACGCUGCCCCCCACCUCCCCCCUCAGAUCCGCAUCGACAAACUGGUGGACAAGUGGUCCGGCUCCAUCGAGAUCGGGGUGACAGCACACAACCCCAACAGCCUGGAGUAUCCUGCCACCAUGACCAACCUUCGCUCUGGCACCAUCAUGAUGAGUGGUUGUGGGAUCCUCACCAACGGCAAAGGGACGCGGCGCGAGUACUGCGAGUUCAGCCUGGAUGAGCUGCAGGAAGGGGACCACAUUGGGUUGACGAGGAAAGCCAACA